GCACAGGAUGCAAUCGCACGAUCCUGCCCGUGAGCAAUCUCCCAACUCAUCUCUGUUAGAGUUGCAUCUCAUCACAGCAAAAGUUAGCACAGAUAAAACUGGCAAUGCAAGGGGUGCAAGAGUUACACAAUUUGCAGCACAGGGUUUCUGAUGGUGUACACAUUUUUUAAUUUCAUAUGCGGGGUAAAUAAAUCGUAAGGAAUGGCCUAGGGACUAUUAGUCAUUUCAUUCCCAAUGCUGAUUUUAAUCGGCAUCCAUGCAAGGGCAUCUAAAUCUGAGUUCGACACAAUCGACAUAAAUGAAUUAAGGUGUUGAUCUGGCGGAUAUGGAAAGUACACUUGCACACAUGCUGGAACAAAAGGGGUGAUAAUAUUAAAGAAACCUUGAAAAAUAUAUUCUUGCGAUAAUGCUUAA
This is a long non-coding RNA of Orussus abietinus, 414 nucleotides long. RefSeq lists it as uncharacterized. The transcript is spliced from 2 exons. The record is from RefSeq and is a predicted model, not a curated record. NCBI's taxonomy places the organism in Eukaryota, Metazoa, Arthropoda, Insecta, Hymenoptera, Orussidae.